GACGAACGCUGGCGGCGUGCCUAAUACAUGCAAGUUGAGCGCUGAAGGUUGGUACUUGUACCAACUGGAUGAGCAGCGAACGGGUGAGUAACGCGUGGGGAAUCUGCCUUUGAGCGGGGGACAACAUUUGGAAACGAAUGCUAAUACCGCAUAAUAACUUUAAACACAAGUUUUAAGAUUGAAAGAUGCUAUUGCAUCAAUCAAAGAUGAUCCCGCGUUGUAAUAGCUAGUUGGUGAGGUAAAGGCUCAACAAGGCGAAGAUACAUAACCGACCUGAGAGGGUGGUCGGCCCCAUUGGGACUGAGACCAGGCCCCAACCUCUACGGGGGGGAGCAGUAGGGGAUCUUCGGGCAUGGACGAAAGUCUGACCGAGCAACGCCGCGGGAGUGAAGAAGGGUUUCGGAUCGUAAAACUCUGUUGGUAGAGAAGAACGUUGGUUGGAGUGGAAAGCGCAUCAAGUGACGGUAACUACUCAGAAAGGGACGGCUAACUACGUG
This 497-nucleotide ribosomal RNA is filed under the name uncultured bacterium. RNAcentral's name for it is "partial 16S ribosomal RNA". It matches the Rfam family "Bacterial small subunit ribosomal RNA", at positions 28 to 507 of the family's 1533-position model. The record is from RNAcentral.